AUAUAACUAAGCGGAGGAAAAGAAACUAACUAGGAUUCUUUUAGUAACGGCGAGUGAACAAGGAACAGCCCAUCACCGAAUCCUUGUUGGCUUCCAAUUAAGGAGUUGUGGUGUAAAGGAUAGUCUUUACUAGAGUAUUUUUGAUCCGAGUUCUCUUGAAUGGGGCUUUCCCAUAGCGGGUGUCAGGCCUCUAGGGUUAAAAAAUACUUUAGUUUUGGUUGUCCCGAGAGUCGGGUUGCUUGAGAUCGCAGCCCUAAGACGGGUGGUAAACUCCAUCCAAGGCUAAAUACAACACGAGACCGAUAGCGCACAAGUA
This 316-nucleotide ribosomal RNA is filed under the name uncultured eukaryote. Its description in RNAcentral is "partial large subunit ribosomal RNA". It matches the Rfam family "Eukaryotic large subunit ribosomal RNA", at positions 40 to 350 of the family's 3401-position model. The record is from RNAcentral.